CCCUUAGAUGUUCUGGGCCGCACGCGUGCUACACUGAGUGGAUCAGCGGGUCAGGUUACGCGAGAGCGUUUCCUAAUCUUCAAAUCCGCUCGUGAUGGGGAUUGACGGUUGCAAUUUUCCGUCAUGAACGAGGAAUACCUUGUAAGCGCGGGUCAUCAUCCCGCGCUGAAUACGUCCCUGCCCUUUGUACACACCGCCCGUCGCUCCUACCGAUUGAGUGGUCCGGUGAGGCUUUGGGAUCUAAGCGAAAAGAGCGUUUCGCUCCGUUUGCUGGGAGAACUCAGUCGAACCUUAUCAUUUAGAGGAAGGAGAAGUCGUAACA
RNAcentral lists this ribosomal RNA (322 nucleotides) under uncultured eukaryote. Its description in RNAcentral is "partial 18S ribosomal RNA". It matches the Rfam family "Eukaryotic small subunit ribosomal RNA", at positions 1470 to 1796 of the family's 1831-position model. The record is from RNAcentral.